UCCAACCUUGUGGGCAGGAC
Molecule: non-coding RNA, 20 nt
Filed under: Rattus norvegicus (Norway rat)
Lineage: Eukaryota; Metazoa; Chordata; Mammalia; Rodentia; Muridae
Source: RNAcentral